GAUGAAGAACGUAGUGAAAUGUGAUAAGUAAUGUGAAUUGCAGAAUCUUGUGAAUCAUCGAAUUUUUGAACGCACAUUGCGCCCUAUGGAAUUCCAUAGGGCAUGCCUGUCUGAGCGUCAGCUCCCACCCCCUCAAGUCUUCUUUUAUUUGGAGAUUUGGAUUAGUUUGAGGAAGUGUCCUUUUUAGUGCUGCUCCUCAGAAAUCUAUAGGCAGUAUGGUCAAACCUGAACAAGGCGUAAUAAGGAUAUAAAAUCGUCUAUAAAGGAAUGCCUGUACUAGUCUUCAACCCAUUUAUUUAUACUUGGGUGACCUCAGAUCAGGUAGGGAUACCCGCUGAACUUAAGCAUAUCAAUAAGCGGAGGA
This 364-nucleotide unclassified non-coding RNA is filed under the name soil metagenome. Its description in RNAcentral is "partial contains 5.8S ribosomal RNA, internal transcribed spacer 2, and large subunit ribosomal RNA". The stretch from base 1 to 120 matches the Rfam family "5.8S ribosomal RNA", at positions 35 to 154 of the family's 154-position model. The record is from RNAcentral.